GAUGAACGCUGGCGGCGUGCUUAACACAUGCAAGUCGAACGAAGCACUUUAUUUGAUUUCCUUCGGGACUGAUUAUUUUGUGGCUGAGUGGCGGACGGGUGAGUAACGCGUGGGUAACCUGCCUUGUACAGGGGGAUAACAGUUGGAAACGGCUGCUAAUACCGCAUAAGCGCACAGCAUCGCAUGAUGCAGUGUGAAAAACUCCGGUGGUAUAAGAUGGACCCGCGUUGGAUUAGCUAGUUGGUGAGGUAACGGCCCACCAAGGCGACGAUCCAUAGCCGACCUGAGAGGGUGACCGGCCACAGUGGGACUGAGACACGGCCCAAACUCCUACGGGAGGCAGCAGUGGGGAAUAUUGCACAAUGGGCGAAAGCCUGAUGCAGCGACGCCGCGUGAGCGAAGAAGUAUUUCGGUAUGUAAAGCUCUAUCAGCAGGGAAGAUAAUGACGGUACCUGACGAAGAAGCACCGGCUAAAUACGUG
Molecule: ribosomal RNA, 481 nt
Filed under: uncultured bacterium
Lineage: Bacteria
Description: partial 16S ribosomal RNA
Rfam family: Bacterial small subunit ribosomal RNA
Source: RNAcentral